This is a long non-coding RNA of Pezoporus occidentalis (night parrot), 461 nucleotides long. RefSeq lists it as uncharacterized. The record is from RefSeq and is a predicted model, not a curated record. The transcript has 3 exons. Lineage: Eukaryota; Metazoa; Chordata; Aves; Psittaciformes; Psittacidae.
AGUUUCUCCUAUGGUGCUGUUCUGACUGAUGUAACCAAGACUAAGCUUCACAUUCCGAAUAAUCCAUUAAUUUCUAUGCAAGAUGUGGAAGUCUGGAGACUAAUUUUUGUAGCCUGCUGCAGUGAUGAAAUUAGAACAUUACUGUGGAAAUGUGGCAUGACUUUAGUAACUGUCUUGUGGCUUUGCAGAAAGCCAUGAAACAUUGGGGAAUAUUGGAGAUGUUUUCAAGGAAAGGAAAAAGGAGACUCAGUACAAAAGGAAUCCAGUGACACUGUGCAAAGUGAGAAUCCAGUAAUGGAAGACAUGUCAAUUAAUCAAAUUCCCAGAGGCUAAGGCAGUUUGAUUUCUCAUGUAACUGCCUGCACUCAAAUUAUGGCUGAUAUAGUGUAGCUACAUGCAUAAAGGUAAAACUUACUCUUCUGUCAAUAUGUGUUUGAUUUUUGAACCCAUGUUCUGUGAUU